CUCCCCCCAGGUAGACGGCAGGCAGGACUUGGGAUUGGAGGCAGCAAAGAGGACAGCAGUGAGGGGGCAAGGGGAUUGUCAGGCCCCCGUGCUUUUUGUGCGGUCACCUGGAAAGUUCUGCAAUCCAUUCCUGGAGUUCCUGAGGGAGCCGCUGCAGCAAGGAAGUUAAGAAGGCUUGCUCACUGUAAUGCUCUGAGAAGUGUUACCUGGAUGAGAGUUUGCAGCUGAAGAUGUUGCCAGAGCUUAGAAGAGAGAAUUGCUUGCAUUUGAAGAUGAUGGAGCCGUCAAUCCACACUAGAGCCUGCUUGCUAGGUUUCCAGCCUACAGCGCUUCAAUUCGGUGAGGAAGAACCUUCAUUGCGCGGCAUUCAGCGAUAGCAACAAAGCGACUCCCUUCUCCGGACGUGUUCACGAGCUGUGUGCAGAGGGCUCUUAAAGUGCCUCAUGCACCAGCUGUCUCGUCUGCAUUGGAUGCUGCAGUACAGCUGUAUCUCCAGUGACCCAGCAUAGCCAUGGAUCGACUGCCCAAGGGUACGGUCAUGAGGCAGCACAUGAGAUGAGGACUAUAAGGGACUUCCUGACAGAAGAUGCCAGACAUGAAAAGAGAAGAAUCAAAAUAAAAAUUGGAGAACAAUGACCUUCCACUUUGGGGACAGAAUUAAGAGCAUCACUGCACAGCACUUGGAAAUUGCUGGAAAAAUCAAGCUGUCAGAAGAAUGGCAGAAGAACAGAACACAUAGAAGAUAGAAGCAAUUAGAAUUAGACAACUGAAUGACCACAUGAAUUGAAAACACUGAAGAAAAUGGAAUGACUAGAUCAAAAAGUUUUUCAUUGGCCACAGCACAGAAACCACUAUCCAUGUUGAAUUGUCAGAAUCAUCACUGCUCUCAGGAAUUCCUGCUCUCAAGGGACUGAGACACUGCAAUUGCUAUUUAUUGUAAUGAGAGGAAGAUGCAUAGUGUGGGAAGAUUUGCCAUACGAUGGGAACUGUGAAUCAAGAAUGGUCAGGAGAGAAGGUCUGUUCCUCUGCCACCAUCCUUUCCACAAGUCUAAGAGAAGACAAGGAAUACAGUAACAGCCUGGAAGCAAUCUCCACUUCUCAAGUCUUCAGUGCUCCUGUUGAAGUGGAUGACUAUUAAACUCCACCAAUUUAAAAACGCUAGCAUUCGAGGAGAUGGAAGGAGAGUUAGUGAAGCAGCAUUGCUUAUUGCUGCUAGAAGGAUAAAAAGCAUUCAUUAUUCAGAUGAAAAGAUAUGUAAUGUGGGCAAGAUGAAAAUUUAAUUUUUUGCUAGGGAUUAUUAAGACAAUAAGGGAUUUCCAACUUGAGAGUCUAUAAUGGACUACAAAUACCAAUUUUAGUGAUAGUACUUUUAAAAUGGUCUUUGAUUUCAGGAUAACAUCUGUGUACCAUUAUGGCCAACAACUUUCAAAUAAAAGAGAACUGUUUUUUUUCAGAGAUUUCACAGGAAUAUACCACAUCUGCUUGCUCAGUAGAAAGCCAAUGAGCAGCACAUCAGCCUGCUGAAGCUGGUCCAUGUGUGCAAGUCUCUCAGAAAGCCAGAAGUACUGCUAAAGGUGCAGUGCACAGUGUUUAAACUGGUCUCUUCUUCAGUUUAUUGCCUGUCACUAAUGAAAGAAAACUGCCUCAACAGAAGGCUUAUGUCACAUGUAACCAUCCUAUUACUUAAGCUAUUUCCCAUGGUAUCUGUAUUUCCCAAUACAGUUUAGGUUAUGAUUGCAAAUCACAGGUCCACUGAGGUUUUUUAAAAGUCUUUACUCACCACUUUGCAACAGAGGGGCCAGAACCACCAGAGCAGGCCAAGCGCCACCAGAAGUAACAGCACAAGAACAGCAAUAAGUGCUGCUACUCCGCUAGACUGCAAAGAAAGCAGAAAGACAACAUCAGUGGAUGGUGCAAACAAUUCCUCUCACUUGCCCCCAAACAGCCUCCAACUAGCUGAUACAACCAAACAAAUCCACUUAUUUAUUUUUUAUUUUCUACUUACUGUCUUGCUUUCUCUCCAACAGAGAAACGUAGCACGAAGGAUCAAGAUAGGUAUCUCAGUCAAAAUCGUAUUUGGUGUAAGUUCAGUAACA
This is a non-coding RNA of Anas platyrhynchos (mallard), 2096 nucleotides long. Lineage: Eukaryota; Metazoa; Chordata; Aves; Anseriformes; Anatidae. The record is from RefSeq and is a predicted model, not a curated record.